UCAGACAUGCAAGUCGAACGGUUAAAGCUUUCUUCGGAAAGUGUAUAAAGUGGCGUACGGGAGAGUAACACGUAAGUAAUCUACCCUCGGGUGGGGAAUAACUUAAGGAAACUUAAGCUAAUACCGCAUAAUGCAGUUUACUGUUAAAGCAUUUAUGCGCCUGGGGAGGAGCUUGCGGCAGAUUAGCUAGUUGGUAAGGUAACGGCUUACCAAGGCCACGAUCUGUAGCCGGUCUAAGAGGACGGUCGGUCUCACUGACACUGAAUAACGGGUCAGACUCCUACGGGAGGCAGCAGUCGGGAAUUUUGGGCAAUGGGCGAAAGCCUGACCCAGCAACGCCGCGUGAAGGAUGAAGUCUUUCGGGAUGUAAACUUCGGAAAUAUGGGAAGAAUAAAUGACGGUACCAUAUCUAAGGUCCGGCUAACUACGUGCCAGCAGCCGCGGUAAUACGUAGGGACCAAGCGUUGUUCGGAUUUACUGGGCGUAAAGGGUGCGUAGGCGGCGCUGCAAGUCACUUGUGAAAUCUCCGGGCUUAACUCGGAACGGCCAAGUGAUACUGCAGUGCUAGAGUGCAGAAUGGGCAAGUGGAAUUCUUGGUGUAGCGGUGAAAUGCGUAGAUAUCAAGAGGAACACCUGAGGCGAAGGCGACUUGCUGGGCUGACACUGACGCUGAGGCACGAAAGCCAGGGGAGCGAACGGGAUUAGAUACCCCGGUAGUCCUGGCCCUAAACGAUGAAUGCUUGGUGUCUGGAGUUUAUAUUCUCUGGGUGCCGUCGUUAACGCUUUUAGCAUUCCGCCUGGGGAGUACGCUCGCAAGAGUGAAACUCAAAGGAAUUGACGGGGACCCGCACAAGCGGUGGAGCAUGUGGUUUAAUUCGACGCAACGCGAGACCUUACCUGGACUCGAUGCGAGGGAGUUCGCUUACAGUGAUGUACCGGCACGACCGAGCAGUGCUGCAUGCUGUCGUCAGCUCGUGUCGUGAGAUGUGGGUAGUCCGCACGAGCGCACCCUAUGAUAGUGCACAGUAUGCUGGACUCUAUCAGACUGCUGUGAUAAACGAGAAGUGGAGAUGUCAGUCAUCAUGCCUUAUGUCAGCUCCACUCUAAUGGUGGUACGAUGGUGUGCAUGGACGUGCUAUCUCACUACUCAGUCGAUGAGCUGAACGACUCAUCGUUGAAUGCUA
This 1184-nucleotide ribosomal RNA is filed under the name uncultured bacterium. RNAcentral's name for it is "bacterial SSU rRNA". It matches the Rfam family "Bacterial small subunit ribosomal RNA", at positions 49 to 1328 of the family's 1533-position model. The record is from RNAcentral.